GUGUCAGCCGCCGCGGUAAUACAGAGGGUGCAAGCGUUAAUCGGAAUUACUGGGCGUAAAGCGUGCGUAGGUGGUUUGUUAAGUCAGGUGUGAAAUCCUCGGGCUCAACCCGGGAACUGCGCUUGAUACUGACAGACUCGAGUGUGGUAGAGGAUAGUGGAAUUCCCGGUGUAGCGGUGAAAUGCGUAGAUAUCGGGAGGAACAUCAGUGGCGAAGGCGGCUAUCUGGACCAACACUGACACUGAGGUACGAAAGCGUGGGUAGCAAACAGGAUUAGAAACCCUUGUAGUCC
RNAcentral lists this ribosomal RNA (292 nucleotides) under uncultured bacterium. RNAcentral describes it as "partial 16S ribosomal RNA". It matches the Rfam family "Bacterial small subunit ribosomal RNA", at positions 505 to 796 of the family's 1533-position model. The record is from RNAcentral.